Melanotaenia boesemani (Boeseman's rainbowfish) is the source of this 152-nucleotide long non-coding RNA. RefSeq lists it as uncharacterized. NCBI's taxonomy places the organism in Eukaryota, Metazoa, Chordata, Actinopteri, Atheriniformes, Melanotaeniidae. The transcript is spliced from 3 exons. The record is from RefSeq and is a predicted model, not a curated record.
CAGGAACACAGCCUGUCUCGGGUGAAAGUGAAGGAACAUCCUGGGAAGCAUCAGGCACGUAACACAGAUGACAGAGUCCAGGGGCACACAGCCUGAAGCAAGUGAUGUGGCCACAUCUAGCAUUCCAGGCACCAGUGAAACACAGAGCACUG